Molecule: ribosomal RNA, 468 nt
Filed under: uncultured bacterium
Lineage: Bacteria
Description: partial 16S ribosomal RNA
Rfam family: Bacterial small subunit ribosomal RNA
Source: RNAcentral
GACGAACGCUGGCGGCGUGCUUAAUACAUGCAAGUCGAACGGAAAGGCCCUGCUUUUGUGGGGUGCUCGAUUGGCGAACGGGUGAGUAACACGUGAGUAACCUGCCCUUGACUUUGGGAUAACUUCAGGAAACUGGGGCUAAUACCGGAUAGGAUCUCCUGCUCCAUGGUGGGGGUUGGAAAGUUUCGGCUGUUGGAGAUGGACUCGCGGCUUAUCAGCUUGUUGGUGGGGUAGUGGCUUACCAAGGCUUUGACGGGUAGCCGGCCUGAGAGGGUGACCGGGGACAAGGGGACUAAGAGACGCAGCAGAAGGGUACGGGAGGCAGCAGGGGGGAGUAUGACACAGUGAGCGGAAGUGUGAGGCAGAAGCGUCGCGUGCGGAAUGACGGCUUUCGGGGUGAAAACAGCUGUCGAAUGAGACGAAGCGUGAGUGACGGUAAUGGGUAAAGAAGCACCAGCUAACUACGUG